Molecule: long non-coding RNA, 428 nt
Organism: Dreissena polymorpha
Lineage: Eukaryota; Metazoa; Mollusca; Bivalvia; Myida; Dreissenidae
Exons: 2
Source: RefSeq, a predicted model, not a curated record
UGAUGUGUUGUUUCCAGGCCACUCUGUGUGACCUUUCGACCCGUACGGGCGACUGCUGUGCACGGCUCUGUGUAUGCCCGCUUACUUGCCAGCGUAUAGAGCCCGCGUUCGAACUAUUGGUGGAAUCCAGGGCGAUGUCUGCUACGACAUCCUUGCAGUAAAUUGUUGUCUGGAGCUUGCGGUCUGUCAGAUGAUGAGGGAGUUGGAUGCCAUGGGACUGUAGAACGUCACAUGCACUGGCCUUUUUUUGGUGCCAUUCCAUUCGAAUCAGAUUUUAUUUAUAGUACAUGAAUUAUUAGAAAUUAAAACGUUUUCUAUGUCAAAAGAUGCAUGGAUUUUAUAAUGAGGAUGAAGCAGUCGUAUGAUUUAGAAUGUUUACUAAAGUGUUACUUAAUAUGAUGACAUUAAAAUCCUAUUGAUUCUUUUUA